This 460-nucleotide ribosomal RNA is filed under the name uncultured Bacteroidota bacterium. Its description in RNAcentral is "bacterial SSU rRNA". It matches the Rfam family "Bacterial small subunit ribosomal RNA", at positions 338 to 795 of the family's 1533-position model. Lineage: Bacteria; Pseudomonadati; Bacteroidota. The record is from RNAcentral.
CCUACGGGCGGCUGCAGUGAGGAAUAUUGGUCAAUGGGCGAAAGGCUGAACCAGCCAUCCCGCGUGCAGGAUGACGGCCCUAUGGGUUGUAAACUGCUUUUGUACCUGAAGAAACCUGGUUACGAGUAACCAGUUGCCGGUAAGGUAUGAAUAAGCAUCGGCUAACUCCGUGCCAGCAGCCGCGGUAAUACGGAGGAUGCAAGCGUUAUCCGGAUUCAUUGGGUUUAAAGGGUGCGCAGGUGGGAAAAUAAGUCAGUGGUGAAAUACUGCCGCUUAACGGUAGAAUUGCCAUUGAUACUGUUUUUCUUGAGUAUGGUUGAGGUAGGUGGAAUGUGUUGUGUAGCGGUGAAAUGCAUAGAUAUGACACAGAACGCCGAUUGCGAAGGCAGCUUACUAAGCCAUUACUGACGCUGAGGCACGAAAGCGUGGGGAUCAAACAGGAUUAGAUACCCCAGUAGUC